GUUACCGCGAAACAGCGCUACAUUACAUUUGAGGGAGCGGGGAUGUUUAAGACAUUCUUGAAGUAUAACGACUACGCCGAGAAAGCUGGCAGCACAUCCAAGAGUGCCUCCACUGCUGUAAUGUCCGAUUACUUCGUUGCGAAGGACCUCACCUUCGAGGUACUGAAAUCCUCGAAUACACUACCACGGUCUUUCAUUUGCAAUCACAGAUAAGAAAGAAGAUCGUGAAGCGCUGCUAGAUUGAGCACUGGUGUUGCAAGGGAUGAUUAACUAUUUCGGUGAUUUGCAACAGAACACACACCCUCCUCCCCCUGGUGGUGCAGUGGGACAGCAAGCAGUUGCUUUCAGGAUCGAAGGAGACUUUGCUCAGUUCUACCGGGUGGGCUUCUUGGGAGCUCAGGAUACGUUGUACGAUAAGAAGGGAAGGCAUUAUUUCAAAGACUGCUACAUCAAAGGAUCAAUUGAUUUCGUCUUCGGAAACGGCCAAUCAUACUACGAGGUAUGUGCAGAAUGACCUGAAAUUCCUCCAUUCUAGAACCAGACUCCCGACUGGUUUCAUGUCAGUUGCUGCAACAAAUCCUUGGCUUGUCAAUGAAAUGGGUGCAUUUGCAGGAAGGGAAACUGUGGUUGUGACCGAUCAUUAACACCAGUCGGCCGUGUCGCCUAAUUUUGCAGUACUGCCACCUGGACUCGAUUGCCAAUCCGGGAAGCGGUUCCCUCACAGCACAGAAGAAGAUGACCAAAGAUGAGAAUAGUGGGUUUUCGUUUGUCAACUGUAAGGUCACAGGAAAUGGACCUAUCUAUUUGGGUCGCGCUUGGGGACCAUACUCC
This 831-nucleotide long non-coding RNA is filed under the name Physcomitrium patens. RNAcentral describes it as "long non-coding RNA (PPAT_LNC003557)". Lineage: Eukaryota; Viridiplantae; Streptophyta; Bryopsida; Funariales; Funariaceae. The record is from RNAcentral.